UGAACGCUGACAGAAUGCUUAACACAUGCAAGUCAACUUGAACUUCGGUUUGGGUGGCGGACGGGUGAGUAACGCGUAAAGAACUUGCCUCACAGUUAGGGACAACAUUUGGAAACGAAUGCUAAUACCUGAUAUUAUGAUUUUAGGGCAUCCUAGAAUUAUGAAAGCUAUAUGCGCUGUGAGAGAGCUUUGCGUCCCAUUAGCUAGUUGGAGAGGUAACGGCUCACCAAGGCGAUGAUGGGUAGCCGGCCUGAGAGGGUGAACGGCCACAAGGGGACUGAGACACGGCCCUUACUCCUACGGGAGGCAGCAGUGGGGAAUAUUGGACAAUGGACCAAGAGUCUGAUCCAGCAAUUCUGUGUGCACGAUGAAGUUUUUCGGAAUGUAAAGUGCUUUCAGUUGGGAAGAAAAAAAUGACGGUACCAACAGAAGAAGUGACGGCUAAAUACGUG
This 452-nucleotide ribosomal RNA is filed under the name uncultured bacterium. RNAcentral's name for it is "partial 16S ribosomal RNA". It matches the Rfam family "Bacterial small subunit ribosomal RNA", at positions 30 to 507 of the family's 1533-position model. The record is from RNAcentral.